AAAUGACAUUUAUUCGGUAUAUUCGUUACUACUAAAUUCAAAACAGUUUUUUUUUUCGGUUCGGUUUUACCGGAUUGAACACCCCUAAUUAUGACAUACAUAUUAAUUUAUGUUGAACAUUAUCAAAUGCACACCUGUAAUUUGUAAAUCUAUAAAUUACAUACAUUUUUUCAACUCUCAAUCUAUAAAUUUUAUUUUUGCUUGUUUAAAGCAUGUGCGCUUUAAGAAAAUGUAGAAAGAAAAUCAUAAGGGAAAAUUAGGAAAAAUAAACCAUAGCAAAAUAGGAAUAUUUGAAAUAAUUAAUUUAAAAUAACAUGAAACAUAAUUAGGAUAAGAGAUUAAACUAAAUGAUUAACCGUACAUAAUUAAUUUGGUAUACAAAAAAAAAAGAGGAAAUUUCAUGUUUACCACUUUCAUGGUACCAUUAUUCAUUUUUACCACCACUAAAGAGACAUUUUCAAAAAUACAUUCUUCAUUUAGUGGAAAAGAGUCUUAUACUCUUGUUCACUAUAUAUAUAUAAUAAAUAAUUAUUUUUUUAAAAAAAAUUAAUUUUUUAUGUUUUUGAAUUAUACUUUUUAAAAUUUGAAUUUUUUUAUAAUUUUUCUUUUGAAUUUUUCUUUUUCAAAAUUUCUUUUUGAAAAUCGAAAAUUAUGUUUGAAACUAUUUUUAAUUUUUUUUAUAUAUUUUUAAAUAUUUAUUUAUAUAUUUAUUAGAAUAAUAAAUUUCACAUUUCAAAAACCCUAUCUUACCAUUAGACUCUAAGCCCUAAGUUUAUAUUAGUUAACCUUAGAGAUAUAAAAUAUUUUUUACCUUUCAUUAAAAGUGAAAAUAAAAGUGAUUAGUUUAAACAUGCAAAAUAGUAUUACGAACGUGGUAUUUGUGACAAUUUUUCAAUAAAUAGGGAAAAGUUUACAACUCAAAUGGGUUUCUCUAAGUUAAUUAUACAAUUUUCUUAAAAACCUCACAACAAGUGUUUUGUUUAUUAUAAUUAUUUUUGGAGUGGUCCACUCGAAUUUCGAAUAUACUACUACAGAGAUUUUGAAAACUAAAAAGUAAAAACCAAGCAGAACCGGUCAAAGUCGGUUAUCCUCUAUAUAACAAAGCACAAAUCACCUAUCCAAUCAAAAUUUGACAUGUAAUAAUCUAUUUUUUCCAAAGAAAAGUACAAAAAAACAGUUGAAAAAGAUUUCACGUCAAUCCCAUUUUUUUCGGCAAUUCCAAAUACCUAACUACUUAAUUGAUCAAAUUAUCUUAUUCUUACGUUCGUAAUUAACUGUCUGGAUUUCAAAUUCUUUUUUUUCUCUAUAAUUUUUGAUCUAUAUAUUUAUUUAUCGGAGUAAUCAACAUGGAAAAUAUAUCAUUUGCUUUAAAGUACCAAUCAGAUAAUUAAUAAAACAAUUGUUAGCAAGAUUUGGCCCUAACAAAAAAACUCAUUCGAUCUUUUAGUUUUUAAAUCCCUCGAAUUUCUCUGAUUACCACUAUCACGUUCAUGUCAUCAUCUAUAACUUCCAAAUCAUGGCAUGGUUUCAAACAGUUUCAUUUUAUAUAUAUAAUUUUCAAUCAACUAAUUUUUUUCUUUAUUUGCUUUUCAUCUUUCUUCAUCUCCAUCGUUUCAAUCUCCUUCACCAACAUUUUUUUUACAGUACGUCUGUGGACAAAAAUACAUACAUAUUUGUGAGUCUUCUACUCAUAUUCUAUUUUAUAUUUUCUUUAUAUUAAUAUCCUUUAAUUUUUUAGUGUGAUUUAGACUGUUGAUGUCACUUGAGUAUACUGAUGUCUAAGAACAUCAUUCUUCAAAAAUGGAAAAUAAGAGCAUGUCUGCAAAUGAGAAUGAGAAUGUGACUAGACUUCCCAAGAAUAUGAAGUUCGAUGACGUUACCAAAUUAUUAUUUUGUUGGAGACAUAACAAAAGAAAUGAUGUCUAGACUCUCGAUGGGAAAGGUAACUGAUUUUGUAAAACCAGCAGUUCCAUUCUUACUUGCUUUUCACUACCACGAUUCAAAUUUGUAUUAUAAACUAGCUUUAAGUUGGAUUACCUACAAGCAUUGAUCUUCAUUGUAAGAAAUUAUGGUAUUAUUUAUAGUUUUUAACGAUGAAUUUGUGAUCUAUGAUUACCAAGUUUCUUUUUUCAGUGUUCAUAAUUUUCUUGACCAAAGGUUUUCAAAAAUUAAAUUGGUGACUUUUUGAGUUUUUUUUACAUGACAUCAAUAAUUUUACCAUAAUAGUCUGUGAACAAAGUUUUUUGUUUUUAUCAAACUAUAACAAAUAAUUAGAGUGAACUGGAUCCCAAGGCACACGGGUUCGACUCCUCCGGGGUUCCAGAGAGCGCCCAGUGACAAAAAAAAAAAAAAAAAAAAAAAAAAAACAAAUAAUUAAUUUUUGGGCCUAAUU
Long non-coding RNA from Brassica napus (rape), 2392 nucleotides. RefSeq lists it as uncharacterized. The record is from RefSeq and is a predicted model, not a curated record. Lineage: Eukaryota; Viridiplantae; Streptophyta; Magnoliopsida; Brassicales; Brassicaceae. The transcript is spliced from 2 exons.